GAACAAAGGUACAAGAGCAGGUUAAUGUUGAGGAUAAGUUUAACUGAGAGCAGAACACUGACUCACUCUUACCUGCCUUCCCAUAGUAACACUGCUGUCCACUAAAGCAGCAGUUGAUAGCUUCACAUUCAGCACUACUGAUACCAGGCUGUCCACAUUGGAUCUGCUCAUAAUCAGCUACAGCACAUUUGUCCAAAGGCUCAGCCUUCGCUACUGGCUUCUGAAUCUGAAGCUUCUGAGGAAACUGCUGAUUAGUCUGUUGAACAGGCUUCUGAAUCUGAAACUUCUGAGGAAACUGCUGAUUAGUCUGUUGAACUGGCUUCUGAAACCACUGCUUCUGAGGAAACUGCUGAUUAGUCUGUUGAACUGGCUUCUGAAACUGCGGCUUCUGAGGAAACUGCUGAUCAGUCUGUUGAACAGGCUUCUGAAUCUGAAGCUUCUGAGGAAACUGCUGAUUAGUCUGUUGAACUGGCUUCUGAAACUGCUGCUUCUGAGGAAACUGCUGAUUAGUCUGUUGAACAGGCUUCUGAAACUGCUGGUCAGUUUGCUGGAGCAUCUGAGCUUGAGGGUUCUGGGGCAGUUUACUCAACUUUGGAAGAGCAUGACAGAAAGCACACAGUGCCAAUACCUGAACCAACCACCAACUUCCAGCCAUUGUCCAACAGCUAAUCACACUAUUGAGAUGCUGCCCUUUAGUCUUUUUGUACUCUACAGAUUUCAGCUAAUCAGCUACAGUCCCUCCCUCUUCAUUAACACUCAUGAUUCUCCAGACUUGCAUUAUUGAUAACUCAAGCAAUUGGGUGAUUCUCAUUGGUUCUUAAGAUUAAAUUCUUAUCUUUUCCAUUUUGAACCUAAAGGCACAAACUUGCUGAAUUCAAAAU
Cyprinus carpio carpio is the source of this 881-nucleotide long non-coding RNA. The record is from Ensembl. Lineage: Eukaryota; Metazoa; Chordata; Actinopteri; Cypriniformes; Cyprinidae.